Molecule: ribosomal RNA, 468 nt
Filed under: uncultured bacterium
Lineage: Bacteria
Description: partial 16S ribosomal RNA
Rfam family: Bacterial small subunit ribosomal RNA
Source: RNAcentral
GACGAACGCUGGCGGCGUGCUUAGCACAUGCGAGUCGAACGGAAAGGCCCUGCUUUUGUGGGGUGCUCGAGUGGCGAACGGGUGAGUAACACGUGAGUAACCUGCCCUUGACUUUGGGAUAACUUCAGGAAACUGGGGCUAAUACCGGAUAGGAGCUCCUGCUGCAUGGUGGGGGUUGGAAAGUUUCGGCGGUUGGGGAUGGACUCGCGGCUUAUCAGCUUGUUGGUGGGGUAGUGGCUUACCAAGGCUUUGACGGGUAGCCGGCCUGAGAGGGUGACCGGCCACAUUGGGACUGAGAUACGGCCCAGACUCCUACGGGAGGCAGCAGUGGGGAAUAUUGCACAAUGGGCGGAAGCCUGAUGCAGCAACGCCGCGUGCGGGAUGACGGCCUUCGGGUUGUAAACCGCUUUCGCCUGUGACGAAGCGUGAGUGACGGUAAUGGGUAAAGAAGCACCGGCUAACUACGUG